UCUGGCCUUGCUAAGAAGGCGAUAACUGAAAAGCAGUACAGCUGGUCUCCUGUUCCCCAUUGGCCGAUUAGCUCGAUUUCGUAAGAAGGACGAGUACGCCGAACGUGUUGGUGUCGUAGCUUGGAUUUAGUUAGCCGACGAGAUCUGUGUAAGUUAUGGAAUUGACUGGAAACACAGAGAGGGAUAAUAAGAAUACUAUGAUUGUGUCACUUCACUUUCAGCUUGCGGUGAGAAACGAUGGGGAGCUGUGUGAGUUGGUUGGUGAUGUGACGAAUUCUAAUGGAGGUGUGAUGACUAACAUUCACAAUCUUCUUCUCCUCCUUCCUCAAUCGCCGUUCCUCAGCUCUCAUUCUCUUCAAAGACUAAAAUUCACAAUCAAGCCAAGCCAAGUUCUUAUUUAGGUCAAUGGAGAUGGAAAGUAUGAGCGGAUAAGGUCAACAAGCCUUUGGUGGAGGUUCUUACCAAGAAGAGUGUUGUCUUUUCCACAUCCUUCGUCCGGUUGUUCAUGCAUGAGGAUGAUCUACUAUUUAAAGUCCUCCUGCAGUUCCUGUCUGUACCAUUGCAUAGAGAAGAACUGCUUAACGUGGAAGAGCAUUCGCGUCAGGAUGAGGACCAAACUAUUUUCUUCCGUUUAUCAUAGGGCUCUCAUGUUUAAACCAAUGCAGCACCCUUCGUUGUAUUCAACCUGUCAAGAAUCUACAAAGAUCAAUUUUCGCAUCUAACAGUUUGGAUUCCCACUAUUCAAGUCAGUAACCUGAAUAGGCAAUUUAUAUUCCGUCCUUCUCAUGUUGGCUCCAAGGCUAAGUUUAGGAGGUAUAUGUUAGCAACCUGAGCUCAUUCUCCCUCGCUUCAAGUUCAGCUGAUUUCUCUCUGAUGGUGUCAUUAAGCAACCUGAGCUCAUUCUCCCUCGCCUUAAGUUCCUUAAGAGAUGCUUCCAUCAGCUCAGCUUCCUUUCUCCUUGUCUCGUCUCUGCAGUUUGCUUCAGGUCAAAAUCUUUAACAUUCAUCUCAAAAGCAAAAGACUUCUCAUAUGGGAAAGCAAAGUAACCUCCUUGAUGUUUCUGCAUUACCCCAAGAUACCUCCAAUAUUUACUUUCUUUUUUAGUAGUAUGAUGUAUUCUUAUAUUUAAUUAUGUUUUUAGUUUUAUUUUGUAAUACAGUUUUUUUAAUAUCAU
Non-coding RNA from Camelina sativa (false flax), 1174 nucleotides. Lineage: Eukaryota; Viridiplantae; Streptophyta; Magnoliopsida; Brassicales; Brassicaceae. The record is from RefSeq and is a predicted model, not a curated record.